RNAcentral lists this unclassified non-coding RNA (207 nucleotides) under Claviceps maximensis. Its description in RNAcentral is "partial internal transcribed spacer region". The stretch from base 1 to 46 matches the Rfam family "Eukaryotic small subunit ribosomal RNA", at positions 1786 to 1831 of the family's 1831-position model. The record is from RNAcentral. Lineage: Eukaryota; Fungi; Ascomycota; Sordariomycetes; Hypocreales; Clavicipitaceae.
AAGUCGUAACAAGGUCUCCGUUGGUGAACCAGCGGAGGGAUCAUUACCGAGUUCUUACACUCCCAAACCCACUGUGAACCUUACCCGAACGUUGCCUCGGCGGGACCCGUCCCGCCGGGGGACCCAAACUCCUGUAUCUCUUUGCGGCAUGUCUGAGUGGAUUUUACAAAUGAAUCAAAACUUUCAACAACGGAUCUCUUGGUUCUG